GAUGAACGCUGGCGGCGUGCCUAAUACAUGCCAGUCGAGCGAACAGACGAGGAGCUUGCUCCUCUGACGUUAGCGGCGGACGGGUGAGUAACACGUGGAUAACCUACCUAUAAGACUGGGAUAACUUCGGGAAACCGGAGCUAAUACCGGAUAAUAUAUUGAACCGCAUGGUUCAAUAGUGAAAGACGGUUUUGCUGUCACUUAUAGAUGGAUCCGCGCCGCAUUAGCUAGUUGGUAAGGUAACGGCUUACCAAGGCGACGAUGCGUAGCCGACCUGAGAGGGUGAUCGGCCACACUGGAACUGAGACACGGUCCAGACUCCUACGGGAGGCAGCAGUAGGGAAUCUUCCGCAAUGGGCGAAAGCCUGACGGAGCAACGCCGCGUGAGUGAUGAAGGUCUUCGGAUCGUAGAACUCUGUUAUUAGGGAAGAACAAAUGUGUAAGUAACUAUGCACGUCUUGACGGUACCUAAGCAGAAAGCCACGGCUAACUACGU
Molecule: ribosomal RNA, 496 nt
Filed under: uncultured bacterium
Lineage: Bacteria
Description: partial 16S ribosomal RNA
Rfam family: Bacterial small subunit ribosomal RNA
Source: RNAcentral